Molecule: ribosomal RNA, 446 nt
Filed under: uncultured bacterium
Lineage: Bacteria
Description: partial 16S ribosomal RNA
Rfam family: Bacterial small subunit ribosomal RNA
Source: RNAcentral
CCAGACUCCUACGGGAGGCAGCAGUGGGGGAUAUUGCACAAUGGGGGAAACCCUGAUGCAGCGACGCCGCGUGAGUGAAGAAGUAUUUCGGUAUGUAAAGCUCUAUCAGCAGGGAAGAAGAUGACAGUACCUGAGUAAGAAGCCCCGGCUAACUACGUGCCAGCAGCCGCGGUAAUACGUAGGGGGCAAGCGUUAUCCGGAUUUACUGGGUGUAAAGGGAGCGUAGACGGUUGCAUAAGUCUGGAGUGAAAGCCCGGGGUGCAACCCCGGGACUGCUCUUGGAACUGCGCGGCUGGAGUGCAGGAGGGGCAGGCGGAAUUCCUGGUGUAGCGGUGAAAUGCGUAGAUAUCAGGAGGAACACCGGUGGCGAAGGCGGCCUGCUGGACUGCGACUGACGUUGAGGCCCGAAAGCGUGGGGAGCAAACAGGAUUAGAUACCCCAGUAAA